AUAACUUACAACCAUCUCUAAUUAAUGUCAAUGAACUUGAUUCCUGAAAUGGAAACAGAAAAACAAUUAAUCAUCACUUUUCCCAGUAUUUAAAAAAAAAAAAAUUCUUAGAUUUGCUCAAUCUUAAACCAUAGGCCAUCAUCAUUUUGUUAUUCACUAAGCAAGGUUUAACUUGUAACCAAUGAUACCAUCUAUCUGUUCCUACACCCUUCCCUUUACAACAUGCUUGACUAUAACAAAACUGCCUAACUCAAGAAUGUGUGGAAUAUCAGUAGUGGUGUGUUUUCAUCCCAUUGCUGUUGAAUUCACUUUCUAUUAUUGUCUUUGGUAAUUUUGUCCAGCAUUGUGAAAUAGCAUCUUAAUUUCUCUUGAAACAAAGUAGAGCCUGUUUCUGCAGGUGGCAUAACAUCAGGAAGUAGAACCAUUGCUGUUCCAGUAAUCAGUUACACAUAAUUCCUUCAAUGAGCUGACGAACUUGUGCUUCAGUCCACGUCCUCCCUUGAGAAGUUUCAUCAUGGUUUUUCACAAUGACUUGUUUAAAAGAUGGACCUUGACCUUCUGCUCCACCUCCUUUAGCCCAACAGUCUUUCCUUAAGUGUCCAUGCUUUCCACAGUUGCUGCAAAUCUUCAACCACCUCUCUAUGUCCAUGUUGUAUUGAACUGUCGCCACUCCUCUUUGGUUUGGCUUGUUUCCUUCUUCCAGGUUUGACCUCAUAGCCAUCUCUAGACGGCCAGCCCAUUGCAUAAUUUGGUCAAAUGUUUCGCCUGGAUUGACUCCAAGUGAUAACGCUUGUUGGUAUUUAGAGCUAAACCCAUCCACAAGUGUGUCAGUGAAUUGUACAUCAUCUCUGUCAGGUUGUGACUCUUCCCUUUUAAUCACAGGUGAAGAAAAUUCAGGACCAAUCUUGUCAACUGUGGUCAUGUUGUCAUCCCUUGUCUCGUCACUCCAGUCAGAUCCAUAAUUAUGAGCCGGUGUACAUCUCAUCAUGUCUCUGCUUGGCUGGGCUGAUUUAGAUCUCGUUAUUAUUGGAGCUGCUUGUGCAGAUGCAAUAAACAUUUUGUCAACUGGACCUCCGUUUGAUCUUGAAGCUUGAGGCUGCGUCAGAGGUUUAGAUGAACUUGUGUAUUGUUCAGGCAAAGGUGGACAAAUCGGUUUGUAAGGUGGAGGCGUUACUGUUGUCGCAGAUUUCACUAGUGCUUGUGAAUAUUUCCUUUCAGCUUCAGUUAUUAUAUUUGUCCAAUCUGGAUCAAAUAGAUCAUCACUGGUUGUGUUUUCCU
Molecule: non-coding RNA, 1278 nt
Organism: Pimephales promelas (fathead minnow)
Lineage: Eukaryota; Metazoa; Chordata; Actinopteri; Cypriniformes; Leuciscidae
Source: RefSeq, a predicted model, not a curated record